Molecule: ribosomal RNA, 292 nt
Filed under: uncultured bacterium
Lineage: Bacteria
Description: partial 16S ribosomal RNA
Source: RNAcentral
GGACUACUGGGGUAUCUAAUCCCAUUCGCUCCCCUGGCUUUCGUUCCUCAGCGUCAGUUACAGCCCAGCGAGUCGCCUACGCCACCGGUGUUCUUCCCAAUAUCUACGCAUUUCACCGCUACACUGGGAAUUCCACUCGCCUCUACUGCACUCCAGUUCGCCAGUAUCCAAUGCACUCCCAGGGUUGGGCCCCGAUCUUUAACAUCAGACUUAACGAACCGCCUACGAACUCUUUACGCCCAAUAAAUCCGGACAACGCUUGCAUCCUACGUCUUACCGCGGCUGCUGGCAC